AUGGAAGAUUCGAUGGACAUGGACGUGAGCCCCCUGAGGCCCAGAACUAUCUUUUCAGUUGUGAACUAAAGGCCGACAAAGAUGAUCACUUUAAGGUGGAUAAUGAUGAAAAUGAGCACCAGUUAUCCUUAAGAACGGUCAGUUUAGGGGCUGGUGCAAAGGAUGAACUGCACAUUGUUGAAGCAGAGGCAAUGAAUUAUGAAGGCAGUCCAAUUAAAUAACACUGGCACCUUUGAAAAUGUCUGUACAGCCAACAGUUUCCCUUGGGGUCUUUGAAAUAACACCACCAGUGCUUUUAUGGUUGAAGUGUGGUUCAGGGCCAGUGCAUAUUAGUGGACAGCAUUUAGUAGCUGUGGAGGAAGAUGCAGAGUCAGAAGAUGAAGAGGAGGAGGAUGUGAAACUCUUAAGGAUAUCUGGAAAGUGAUCUGUCCCUGGAGGUGGUAGCAAGAUUCCAGAGAAUAAAAGUAAAACUUGCUGCUGAUGAAGAUGAUGAUGAUGAUGAUGAUGAUGAUGAUGAUGAUUUUGAUGAUGAGGAAACUGAAGAAAAAGCACCAUUGAAGAAAUCUACAUACUCCAGCCAAAAAUGCACAAAAGUCAAAUCAGAAUAGAAAACACUCAAACCCAUCAUCAACACCAAGAUUAAAAGGACAAGAAUCCUUCAAAAAACAGGAAAAAACUCGUAAAACACCAAAAGGGCCUAGUUCUGUAGAAGACAUUAAAUCAAAAAUGCAAGCAAGUAUAGAAAAAGGUGGUUCUCUUCCCAAAGUGGAAGCCAAGUUCAUCAAUUAUGUGAAGAAUUGCUUCCGGACAACUGACCAGGAGACUAUUCAAGAUCCUGGCAGUGGAGGAAGUCU
Molecule: long non-coding RNA, 854 nt
Filed under: Homo sapiens (human)
Lineage: Eukaryota; Metazoa; Chordata; Mammalia; Primates; Hominidae
Description: non-protein coding lnc-BLNK-2:1
Source: RNAcentral